CCUGCCUAUGAGGCCUUGUCUUGGGACUUCCUGUUACCGGAGCACCUGCCCAGGAGGGAUGGGUGGUGCUGCAGGUUUUGUGAACACUGCAGCAGGGAGCUUCCUGGGGACCACAGGGCCCUCGCUCACCUCUGCAGGACCCACUGCUUCAGUUCUUCCCUGUCUUUGUCUCAGGCACUAGGAAAAACUAGUCUGGGAUGUCUGGGCCUGGGCUUACAGCUGUAGCCACACUUAGUUUUUUUCUAUAAUCUCAGGCCAGAGAAAGAACAAUCUUUAAGGCAGAGAAAGAGGCUGUCUUUUGCCUUUCAACAGCUCUGAUUAAUCUCUUCCUGAUGCAGAGAGACUUUGGCAGGACUCCCAAAGCCCCAGAGCCCCCCACUUUGAACUUUUUAUUCUCCCAAACACUUCCGUCCCACCCUGCUCCUCCUCUCCCCAUCCUCACGUCUGUGGGUCAUGUUUCUUUCCAUCUCCGCAUCUGGUCAAGAAUCUGACCCUCUGUGUUGGGAACAUGGGUUUAGUGCGGGAUGAAGAGGUUGGGGAAGAAUCUCAUCUCCAUGAUGCUGGGGUGGGGGAGGGUCCUUU
Molecule: long non-coding RNA, 582 nt
Filed under: Homo sapiens (human)
Lineage: Eukaryota; Metazoa; Chordata; Mammalia; Primates; Hominidae
Description: HSALNT0243728
Source: RNAcentral